AUGUUCGUAAAAGAAUAAGUUACAAAGGUGUGGAACGAUCUAGGGACAUGCACAAGGGAUGGUGAAGGACCUUGGGACUACGAGAGCAGAAGGUGAUGGCGAUUGAACACAGGCCAGAAGAGCUGCAGGCUUUGCUCAUAAAAGCAACCAGGGAAAACACACCUGUACACACCUGACAUAACAGAUUCCCACCGGAGACAUACAAGAGACCAUCUAAGGCCUGGAGGACAGAGCGGGCCUGGAGAAUUGCCCUCUUUCACACCUUCUGUGCAACAACCUGCUCUGUGGGCACGCUCACAGUCCAGGGAGCACUCCGAGGUGUCUUGACAGCCGGGCUGGAGGAGAGCCCAGGUCUUCCGAAGGUGAAAGAGCUGUGAGCCCACAUCCUUCUGGUAAAGACGCUUCCCUUACACUUCACAACAAUAAACCCACUUUCACAAUAUGUAGCUUAGAUUUUCAGGUGACUCUUACAACAGUCAUUUCUCGCAACCUUUUCAUUGUGAGUUUAGGAUAUUCCUACUAGCAAUUCACUCAUUUUCAGUAAAUGGGAAAACCAAAGCAAGAAAUACUCAAUCGAAGCGGAAAAGUGCAUUACUUGACUUCUUUUCCAACCGACUACCGACAUGUUUUUCUCCUCCUUUAGAUUACAAGCAUAAACACUGAUAUAAGGGCAAGCGGCUUGCCUUUUGGGUCUAGAGUGUUUUUGAUGAUAACAGCACAGGCAGCCCCAGGGUGGAAUGUCUUAGCAGCAGUUAAAGGUUAACAAGAUGAAUCGAUAGGCCCAUUGAUGUCUCUGAAGGAGGAGCCACAUCAUGCAAGGCAGGUCCAGGGGUGAAGUUACAGGAACCUCCCAGCCUCUCUCUCCAAAUUUCCAGACCCAGCAGGUGUCAGUUACAUCUGCAGCCUGGGGCAGAAGCCCAGCCAAGUCACGGAGUAAAGGAUGUUCAAAGCUGGAAGGCACAUCACAGACCACAGAGACCAACUUCCUUAACUUACCGCCUAAGGCCUAUGUAACGUACCUUUGAUUAGGUGCCAGAAUAUUUCCAAGUAUUCUAUACAUUGUUAAUCAUUUUCCUAUACGUUAUAUCAUUUGUUUCUCCCCCCAAAUUUGAACUGCCAAUGUUUGUCCCAUUUUGCAGUUGAGGAAACCGAGGCUUGGAAAAGGCUAAUGGCUAGUUCUAAAGCAUGGAACGACGGGUAGGUGGGGCAGAGACUUGAGGCUCAGUUUUAUAAAUUUGGGGCUCUUGCCACUGGGUUAUGCCACUUUGUCGGCACCUCGAGCAGGAUAUCCUCCAGGAAACAUUUACUGUAUGCUUUCUAGAUGUCUGGGAUUGUGCAUAGCUCUGAAUUCUGUGCUCCUGCUACAUCUAGGUCAUUAAUAAAGUGGUGUGGAUAAAUUGCAA
Leopardus geoffroyi (Geoffroy's cat) is the source of this 1403-nucleotide long non-coding RNA. RefSeq lists it as uncharacterized. The transcript has 3 exons. The record is from RefSeq and is a predicted model, not a curated record. Lineage: Eukaryota; Metazoa; Chordata; Mammalia; Carnivora; Felidae.